GACGAACGCUGGCGGCGCGCUUAACACAUGCAAGUCGAACGGAAAGGCCUGCUUUCCCUUGUGGAUUGCGGGGACUCGAGUGGCGAACGGGUGAGUAACACGUGAGUGAUCUGCCCCCAACUUGGGUAUAAGCCUGGGAAACUGGGUCUAAUUCCCGAUAGGACUGCAGGGUGGUGCCGGUGGUGGAAAACGAUGUUCUAGGGGUUGGGGAUGAGCUCGCGGCCUAUCAGCUUGUUGGUGGGGUAAUGGCCUACCAAGGCGGCGACGGGGAGCCGGCCUGGGAGGGUGGACGGGCGCAUUGGGACUGAGAUACGGCCCAGACUCCUACGGGAGGAAGCAGUGGGGAGGAAUGCACAAUGGGCGGAAGCCUGAGGCAGCGACGCCGCGUGGGGGAUGACGGGCUUCGGGUUGUAAACUCCUUUCGACAGCGAGGAAGCCACCUGGUUGGAAGGGUGGUGACGGUAGUGGUAGAAGAAGCACCGGCUAACUACGUG
RNAcentral lists this ribosomal RNA (494 nucleotides) under uncultured bacterium. RNAcentral describes it as "partial 16S ribosomal RNA". It matches the Rfam family "Bacterial small subunit ribosomal RNA", at positions 28 to 507 of the family's 1533-position model. The record is from RNAcentral.